GGCAUGGUUGUCGUCAGCUCGUGUCGUGAGAUGUUGGGUUAAGUCCCGCAACGAGCGCAACCCCUAUUGUUAGUUGCCAUCAUUCAGUUGGGCACUCUAGCGAGACUGCCGGUAAUAAACCGGAGGAAGGUGGGGAUGACGUCAAAUCAUCAUGCCCCUUAUGACCUGGGCUACACACGUGCUACAAUGGUUGGUACAACGAGUUGCGAGUCGGUGACGGCGAGCUAAUCUCUUAAAGCCAAUCUCAGUUCGGAUUGUAGGCUGCAACUCGCCUACAUGAAGUCGGAAUCGCUAGUAAUCGCGGAUCAGCACACCGCGGUGAAUACGUUCCCGGGCCUU
Molecule: ribosomal RNA, 339 nt
Filed under: uncultured Streptococcus sp.
Lineage: Bacteria; Bacillati; Bacillota; Bacilli; Lactobacillales; Streptococcaceae
Description: bacterial SSU rRNA
Rfam family: Bacterial small subunit ribosomal RNA
Source: RNAcentral